UGGGGAAUUUUGGACAAUGGGCGAAAGCCUGAUCCAGCAAUGCCGCGUGUGUGAAGAAGGCCUUCGGGUUGUAAAGCACUUUUGUCCGGAAAGAAAUCCUUGGCUCUAAUACAGUCGGGGGAUGACGGUACCGGAAGAAUAAGCACCGGCUAACUACGUGCCAGCAGCCGCGGUAAUACGUAGGGUGCAAGCGUUAAUCGGAAUUACUGGGCGUAAAGCGUGCGCAGGCGGUUUGCUAAGACCGAUGUGAAAUCCCCGGGCUCAACCUGGGAACUGCAUUGGUGACUGGCAGGCUAGAGUAUGGCAGAGGGGGGUAGAAUUCCACGUGUAGCAGUGAAAUGCGUAGAGAUGUGGAGGAAUACCGAUGGCGAAGGCAGCCCCCUGGGCCAACACUGACGCUCAUGCACGAAAGCGUGGGGAGCAAACAGGAUUAGAUACCCUGGUAGUCCACGCCCUAAAACGAUGUCAACUAGUUGUUGGGGGAUUCAUUUUCCUUAGUAACGUAGCUAACGCGUGAAGUUGACCGCCUGGGGAGUACGGUCGCAAGAUUAAAACUCAAAU
Molecule: ribosomal RNA, 561 nt
Filed under: uncultured bacterium
Lineage: Bacteria
Description: partial 16S ribosomal RNA
Rfam family: Bacterial small subunit ribosomal RNA
Source: RNAcentral